UGGGGAAUAUUGGGCAAUGGGCGAAAGCCUGACCCAGCAACGCCGCGUGAAGGAAGAAGGUUUUCGGAUCGUAAACUUCUAUCCUUGGUGAAGAUAAUGACGGUAGCCAAGAAGGAAGCCCCGGCUAACUACGUGCCAGCAGCCGCGGUAAUACGUAGGGGGCAAGCGUUGUCCGGAAUGAUUGGGCGUAAAGGGCGCGUAGGCGGCCUGGUAAGUCUGGAGUGAAAGUCCUGCUUUUAAGGUGGGAAUUGCUUUGGAUACUGUCGGGCUUGAGUGCAGGAGAGGUAAGUGGAAUUCCCGGUGUAGCGGUGAAAUGCGUAGAGAUCGGGAGGAACACCAGUGGCGAAGGCGACUUACUGGACUGUAACUGACGCUGAGGCGCGAAAGUGUGGGGAGCAA
This 399-nucleotide ribosomal RNA is filed under the name uncultured bacterium. RNAcentral describes it as "bacterial SSU rRNA". It matches the Rfam family "Bacterial small subunit ribosomal RNA", at positions 355 to 771 of the family's 1533-position model. The record is from RNAcentral.